UUCCGGUUGAUCCUGCCGGAGGGUACUGCUAUCGGAGUUCGACUAAGCCAUGCAAGUCUACUCGUUCACCUGGACGAGCGGCAAACGGCUGAGUAACACGUAAUCAAUCUGCCCUAAGGAAGGGGAUAACCUCGGGAAACUGAGGAUAAUACCCUAUAGGUGAGAGACGCUGGAAUGCCCUCUCGCUCAAAAGGCACACGAAUUGGAGUGUGUCCGUUUUAGGAUGAGGUUGCGGAGGAUUAGGCAGUUGGUGGGGUAACGGCCUACCAAACCUAUAAUCCUUAGGGGCCAUGUAAGUGGGAGCCCCCAGAAGGGCACUGAGACAAGGGCCCUAGUCCUACGGGAUGCAGCAGGCGCGAAAACUCCACAAUGCGCGAAAGCGUGAUGGGGGAACUCCGAGUGGUCUCCUUCGGGAGACCUUUUGCUUAGUCUAGAAAACUAGGCGAAUAAGGAGUGGGUAAGACCGGUGCCAGCCGCCGCGGUAAUACCGGCACUACAAAGUGGUACCCCACGUAUAUUUGGGUCUAAAGCGUUCGUAGCCGGCCUAGUAAGUUGCUGGUGAAAUCUUCGGCUUAACCGAAGGGCGGGCCAGUAAUACUGCCAGGCUUGGGAGUGGGGGAGGUCAGGGGUACGCCCGGGGUAGGGGUAAAAUCCGUUAAUCCUGGGCGGACCAGCAGUGGCGAAGGCGCCUGACCAAAACACGUCCGACGGUGAGGAACGAAGGCUAGGGGAGCAAACGGGAUUAGAUACCCCGGUAGUCCUAGCUGUAAAUGAUGCAGACUUGGUGUGGCAACAGCUUCGAGCUAUUGCCGUGCCGUAGCGUAGGUGUUAAGUCUGCCACCUGGGGAGUACGGCCGCAAGGCUAAAACUUAAAGGAAUUGGCGGGGGAGCACCACAAGGCGUGGAGGCUGCGGUUCAAUUGGAUUCAACGCCGGA
Molecule: ribosomal RNA, 936 nt
Filed under: uncultured archaeon
Lineage: Archaea
Description: bacterial SSU rRNA
Rfam family: Archaeal small subunit ribosomal RNA
Source: RNAcentral